This 432-nucleotide ribosomal RNA is filed under the name uncultured bacterium. RNAcentral describes it as "bacterial SSU rRNA". It matches the Rfam family "Bacterial small subunit ribosomal RNA", at positions 338 to 786 of the family's 1533-position model. The record is from RNAcentral.
CCUACGGGGGGCAGCAGUGGGGAAUAUUGCACAAUGGGGGAAACCCUGAUGCAGCGACGCCGCGUGAGCGAAGAAGUAUUUCGGUAUGUAAAGCUCUAUCAGCAGGGAAGAAAAAUGACGGUACCUGAGUAAGAAGCACCGGCUAAAUACGUGCCAGCAGCCGCGGUAAUACGUAUGGUGCAAGCGUUAUCCGGAUUUACUGGGUGUAAAGGGAGCGCAGGCGGUGCGGCAAGUCUGAUGUGAAAGCCCGGGGCUCAACCCCGGGACUGCAUUGGAAACUACCGAACUAGAGUGUCGGAGAGGUAAGUGGAAUUCCUAGUGUAGCGGUGAAAUGCGUAGAUAUUAGGAGGAACACCAGUGGCGAAGGCGGCUUACUGGACGAUAACUGACGCUGAGGCUCGAAAGCGUGGGGAGCAAACAGGAUUAGAUACC